Molecule: microRNA, 23 nt
Filed under: Salmo salar (Atlantic salmon)
Lineage: Eukaryota; Metazoa; Chordata; Actinopteri; Salmoniformes; Salmonidae
Description: ssa-miR-301c-3p
Gene: ssa-miR-301c-3p
Source: miRBase by way of RNAcentral
CAGUGCAAUAGUAUUGUCAUGGC